Molecule: long non-coding RNA, 401 nt
Filed under: Lupinus angustifolius (narrow-leaved blue lupine)
Lineage: Eukaryota; Viridiplantae; Streptophyta; Magnoliopsida; Fabales; Fabaceae
Description: long non-coding RNA (LANG_LNC003014)
Source: RNAcentral
UGGCUAUUUCGAGUAUGGAAGGACACGUGGCAGAACGCAUUGGAUAAGCGCUUGAAGACUUGGAGCACCAGAACACGUGGCAUAACAUGGUUCGCUGACGGGAACGCUGCACGGGUUCGACCGUGAUCUCGUUCUUACGUGAUCCUGCGCCUACAUUGGAGGAAUGAUUACGUGUGGCAAGGCACAGAGGAACCACGCUACAUUUCGCUUUCUGAUUGGUCCGUUAGUUGGUCAACGUGUUGAUGGAGAAAGUAUGUAGGAUUCACUGCAGCGAUUGAACCACAAAGCAGGAGCACAAGGCGACAGUACUCUCGCCCACACUCGAUCUUCUUCCUUAACUUCUCACUGCUCUCUAACUGUUCAUGUGUUUUUGGCAGUACUUAUAGUGUUUUCAUAGUGUU